This 903-nucleotide ribosomal RNA is filed under the name uncultured archaeon. Its description in RNAcentral is "bacterial SSU rRNA". It matches the Rfam family "Archaeal small subunit ribosomal RNA", at positions 14 to 922 of the family's 1478-position model. The record is from RNAcentral.
CUGCCGGAGGCUACCGCUAUUGGAGUUCGAUUAAGCCAUGCGAGUCGCGAGUCUUAGGGACUCGGCGUACCGCUCAGUAACACGUGGGUAACCUGCCCUAUGCUGGGAGAUAACCUCGGGAAACUGAGAAUAAUACCCCAUAGUUCACUACGCCUGGAACGGUGAGUGGAUGAAAGCUCCGGCGGCAUAGGAUGGGCCUGCGGCGUAUCAGGUUGUAGGGGGUGUAACGUACCCUCUAGCCCUCUACGCGUACGGGUGUUGGGAGACAUAGCCCGGAGAUGGAUUCUGAGACACGAAUCCAGACCCUACGGGGUGCAGCAGGCGCGAAAACUUGACAAUGCGAGAAAUCGUGAUCAGGGAACUCCAAGUGGCUGGGGUAAGACCCAGUCUUUUCUUGACUCUUCAAAGGUCUUGGAAUAAGGGGUGGGUAAGGACGGUGCCAGCCGCCGCGGUAAUACCGGCGCCUCAAGUGGUAGUCGCUUUUAUUGGGCCUAAAACGUCCGUAGCCGGUCUGAUACAUUCGUGGGUAAAUCAACUAGCUCAACUAGUUGAAUUCUGCGAGGACGGUCAGACUUGGGACCGGGAGAGGUGUGGGGUACGCUCAGGGUAGGGGUAAAAUCCUGUCAUCCUAAGCGGACCACCUGUUGCGAAGGCGCCACACUAGAACGGAUCCGACGGUCAGGGACGAAGCCUAGGGGCACGAACCGGAUUAGAUACCCGGGUAGUCCUAGGUGUAAACGCUGUGGACUUGAUGUUGGGGGCGCUCCGAGCGCUUCCAGUGUCGAAGCGAAGGUGAUAAGUCCACUGCCUGGGAAGUACGGUCGCAAGGCUGAAACUUAAAGGAAUUGGCGGGGGAGCACCGCAACCUGAGGAUUGUGCGGUUUAAUUGGAGUCAACGCCGGG